AAGUCGUAGCAAGAUUUCCGUAGGCGAACCUGCGGAAGGAUCAUACACAAUGAGUGUUUAAUGGCACUUCAAAUCCAUUACCCACCUUGUGUGCAUUGUCGGGAGGACUCUUAAUAUCAAACUUCUCUCUCACUCUUUCUUUUUCCACUCUCUUUGAGGGGGAGAGGGAGAGGGAGGGAGGGGAGAGGGAAAGAGGGAACUCCUUUUCAUUCAUACUCUGUUCUUCAGUAUCUGUCUACUUCAAUUGAGUAUAAAACUCGAAUACAACUUUCAGCAACGGAUCUCUUGGCUCUC
Molecule: unclassified non-coding RNA, 294 nt
Filed under: fungal sp.
Lineage: Eukaryota; Fungi
Description: partial internal transcribed spacer region
Rfam family: Eukaryotic small subunit ribosomal RNA (bases 1-46)
Source: RNAcentral